This 1407-nucleotide long non-coding RNA is filed under the name Homo sapiens (human). RNAcentral's name for it is "non-protein coding lnc-FBXO15-3:6". Lineage: Eukaryota; Metazoa; Chordata; Mammalia; Primates; Hominidae. The record is from RNAcentral.
AUUCAAGAUGGAGACGCCCUGGUUCAGACGCCUCUGACAGAUGCUCCAAGAUGAUGUGAAGAACCACAUUGUGACCAGUAUGGAGGUGCUGUACAUAUUUGGUCAAUGUGCCUUUUGUCAAUGAAAUAUGCCCACUCUGUAUUGUGCCGAUCAGGAACUCACUCCUUCCUGCUCUUUCUGGGCUGGUUUUGGCGGAUUUCUUCCAGUGAGAGCAUUGGAGACCAGAAGUUUUUUGAAUUGCAUCUCUAAUGACCUAUCAGAUCAGAAGACUGGUAAACCUGGAGCCUCAUCCCAAGAGGUGAUGGUGUCUGGGUUUAUUAUGGAUCGCAGGAUGUAACUAUCAAUCUGGAGCUUUAGGGGGAAGAAGAAAGAAUAUUUUGAACCACACCAGGAGAAUUACCCUAGAGAAUAUAAGUUCACCUGCCAAAAUGGGAGGCUGGCAUCUUUUUGCUCUAUGAGAAGGCUGCUGAGCUAACAGGUCUGCCUUGGCAUAAAUGUCUAGAAGAGCAUGUGUCUCCUGGAGUAUGGGGACAUUUGUGUUUCCAUAAAUUGGCAGCUGCUUCUGGUUAGAGACUUCUAAAAGGUCUGGAAUACUGGAAUACUGGUAUAGUCCAAAAGGGGAAGAUGAAAAGGAGCCGUGGAACAUUGUACCAGGAAGAAGAUGGGACAUUACUCUCCGCAUGCCCUGGAGCUUUCGGAAGACGUAUAAGAGGAUCUUAGUUUCCAUAGCUCCACAUGAAAGAGCAAGCAGGGCUGCUGAUGUCCACUGUGGGCUCCAAGUGAGGGACUGGCCCAUGGGCAGGAGGUGAGGGAGACUUACUUGCUUUUCUCUGAGCUGGUCCACAGGAGCAGAGGAGACUGGGGUGAGCCUCACUCCAGAAUACUUGUAGAGUAUGUGACACCGGUUACCAACCUUGGCUCCACAAAAAUUACCUGUGAACCUUCUAAAAUACACAUAAGAAAUUCUUACUGAAUUGAACUGGGACGAGAUUCCACGUAUCAGGAUUCUGUAAAAGCUCCCCCAGUGACUCAAGAUGAAGUCCGGGUUGAAGACCAGUGAUAUGCAGGAAAUGUGUCCUGUGAUUUGAAACCACAUUCCAUUUGUCAAGCAAGACACUACGGCCACAUAAUGGAGAUCUACUUCCAUAUGAACCAGUGGAUUUCACUCUGCUUAAUGGAAGUGCCUUAGACUACUUCUCAAACCUCAGUCCACGUCAGAAUCACCAAAGGGCCUGAUGCAUCCCAGAUUCCAGUCCCUUCUCUCCAUCCCAGACAUUCUGCUGAGGCAACUACCACAUUUAAGUGGACAAGUUCAUCAUUAAUAUUUAACUCAUGAGGCCUCUCUUGGAUCAGCUUUUCUUCACUGAUCAUUCAUCUUUGAGGCAUUCACUUCAGGACAAGACUGAG